GGCAACCAGAGCCAGCUGGGACACCGAGCUUGGGGUAGGAGCCAGGUAUUUUUCCUCCAUUCAUCUGUUGAUUCCAUCAGUGUUUUCUUCUAAGCUUGGGCUCUAACUGCAGUGUCCAACGUGGGAAAACAAACCCGAAAGUCAGGAACUGAGCUGCAUCUGCUCUAGUGCUGCCUUUUGCUCUUCUGAAAUGAAGCCAAAAGGCACAGCCCCUGCCCUCCAGAACAGGAAGCUGCUGAAAGAGCGUGUCCUUUCUCCAGCGCUGCCUGCCCUCACUUUGGCUCUUUCCACCAUCCGUUUGAGAGCAUUCAGUUUCCUCGACCCACAGAUGAGCAGAGCACAUCUGCCAGCCCAGUUCCCCCUGGCGGAGCGCACCUCUGACCCUCACUUGGAGACCUCCUGGACUCUUCUUGGACUUUCCAGCCAAUGGCUUGCAGUAGUAGGGAAAACUCACUUCUAUUUUGAUGGUAUGGAAGGAGUGAGGCCUGGUAAUCAAACUGGGCAUAAAUCCCAGCUCCAUCACUCACCAACUGUGUGACUUUGGGGAAGUCACUUUUCUGAACCUCGGUUUCCACAACUAUAAAACAAGAAUAAUAAUUUGUAAUUUGCAGAGCUGCUGUGAAAUUAAACAAAGCAAAAUAUGUAAAGGCCUUAGUGGUUUCUGGCCUUCUUAGUGGAGGCACUGGCCUAGUGUAAACACCUCUGACCCCUCUUCCUGUAGGUCCACCACUGGGUUGCCUCAGUUCUGGUGCCAGGUUCUGAGAACAGCCUGCUCCGCCCUCUUUUUCUUUUCUUCCUUCUCAUCCCAGUGUUACCUCCUAUCCUGGCCCCUCUCCAAAUCUGGUGUUACAUGAAAUCGUCUGCCUAAAACUUUGAAGGUGUUCCUAGGCUAGAAAUCUCAGGGGUGUCUUCUCUCUUUUCUUACCCCUCCAUACCUUCUCCCUGGCAUUCUGACUUAGCGAUUCCAUCCAUAAUUGUGGCUUUACCUCAUUUAUAGGGAAGGCUGUCAAAUCUGUUUCAUGCCUUGACUUCCAAGCCCAUCUCUGUCCUCCUUGUUCCCCGAUCUCAACCGUCAGGGGGAAAGUGUACAAUCUGCACUUAGUCAUUUUGCAGACAUAGCCUAUGAAGGCAUAGUAACAUCACCUGUUUAUCGAGCACCGAGUAGGUCCAUGUCUCUGCACCAGGAUACAAUACAGGAGGGAAAAGAUGUGUUUCUUGUCCUCAGGGGCUCCUGGGUCAGAGAGAGUUCCAGUGCCAGGUGCACGUGAGGCAUAACUGUAAACAGGUGUCACUGGAAAUAGAAAGUUAUUUGUCAUUGUGGCCUUUAAUGCUAUCAGUGGAGCCAAGAAUAAGCCAUUGCCAGUACUGUCACAUGGGAGAAGAUAAUGGAAAGAAAGAAGGGAGGAAGGAAAGGAAGUAGAAGAGAAAGAAAAGAAAGAAGAAAAGGAGAAAGAGAAAGGAAGGAAGAAAGAAAAAGGGAGGAAAGGAGGAAGGAAGGAAGGGGGAUUUAAGAAAACAGGCAGAGAGAGAAGUCAUGAGAAAAGUCAAAAGAAGUCAGAAAGAAAAACACCAACACAGUAUAUUAACACACAUAUAUAUAUGGAAUUUGGAAAGAUGGUAAUGACAACCCUAUAUGCGAGACAGCAAAAGAGACACAGAUAUAAAGAACAGACUUUUGGACUCUGUGGGAGAAGGCGAAGGUGGGAUGAUUUGAGAGAAUAGCAUUGAAACAUGUAUAUUACCACAUGUGAAACAGAUGACCAGUCCAAGUUCAAUGUGUGAAACAGGACACUCAAAGCCGGUGCACUGGGAC
This 1813-nucleotide long non-coding RNA is filed under the name Cervus hanglu yarkandensis (Yarkand deer). RNAcentral's name for it is "lncRNA (ENSCHYG00000006154.1)". Lineage: Eukaryota; Metazoa; Chordata; Mammalia; Artiodactyla; Cervidae. The record is from RNAcentral.